GACCUCAGAUCAGGCAAGACUA
Molecule: ribosomal RNA, 22 nt
Filed under: Zoanthus gigantus
Lineage: Eukaryota; Metazoa; Cnidaria; Anthozoa; Zoantharia; Zoanthidae
Description: partial 28S ribosomal RNA
Source: RNAcentral